UCUCGAAGAAGCACGAUUCAUGUCCAACUAUUUCCUAGGGAAGAAUCCCAAUGACUAGAGCAGUUUCGAGGGGGAGCCACGUUAGAGCAGAUCGCAUUGAAUUAAUGGAAAUAACGACGGCAGUGACGCGACCGAAGGAGCACGAGGAUAGAUUGCGGUUCCAAAAGGCACUCGUUAGACCCAGAUGACCGACGGCGUUCGAGGACGUUUCGAGGUUGAAGAAGUUGCGGGUGACGAAAUGCAGGAGAGGACUUACCGAAUGAGAAGCCGUCUGCAGGUUUGCUCAUUGGCCUCGACGGGCACGAGACUGCAGCCAUCGUAGCGCGGGGGCGACUAAGGAUGUGUGCCUGUGUCUGCUUGUAGAGAGAGAGAGAGAGAGAGAGAGGAAUUCAGCUCAGUCAAGACGAGAUCAACGAUGAGAGAAGCAGAGAGAGAGAGAGAGAGAGAGAGAGAGAGAGAGAGAAAUGAUCUCCUCUGGUUUGGUUUCGAUGAGUUCGAUGCGCAAACUGGAAUGAGUUUCG
Molecule: long non-coding RNA, 521 nt
Filed under: Eucalyptus grandis
Lineage: Eukaryota; Viridiplantae; Streptophyta; Magnoliopsida; Myrtales; Myrtaceae
Description: long non-coding RNA (EGRA_LNC007318)
Source: RNAcentral